GAGAGAGAGAGAGAGUUUCUAUGUGAGUAUCUUACACAAAAAUCUUAUAAGGCCAUAGAAACUUGCUAGCUGGAAGCAAGAGUGCCGAAUUGGCAAUGAUGAUGUGGAUAAUUAAUUAUUAAUUAACUGAGUGAUUAAUUAGGUAAUUAGUUAAUUAAUUAAAGUUCUACAGUUAGUUGAUGAAUUAACGUGAGACAUGCUUGCUAAGCUGCUUUUACUUGAAAAGUUAAAGGGGUAGUAAAUUAUUAAUGUGCAUGAUUUUGCUUAUGUUGUUGUGUAUAGGAGACGUUGGUACUAUAAUGAGAAAAAAUUUAUCAGUCACUGUGCAUUUUGGAUGCACAAUGAUUUUUUUAAUCAAUCAUCAGUUUUUUAUAAUUUAAAAAAUGUAAAUUUCUACAACUACGUAAUUGCCCUCAACUACCAAACGACACUCUAAUAAUGCUUAUAUAUGUCUGGGGUGAUAUGUUAAUAUAUGGAUAGAUUUUCUCAAAGUGUAGUAAGGCCAAACCUCAGGGAGGUAUUUAAAAAUUACCUAUUUAGAAAAUGAUAAUUUUGUAAUUAAAGUAGCUCUUGAAUCUUGAUGGAGAAAGGGAAUUUAAAAAAGAAAUUAUUGGGGUGCCAAUAGUCUCAUUCUUGAAUGCCUUGUCUACAAUUAUGAGAAGAAUUACUUAAAAAGACAAUUAUGAAUAUAAUUAAAUUAAAAUGUCCAAAAUAAUUUUGAGGCAAUAAAUUACCUAAUUUUACUAUCAAAGAAUAUGUUUAAAAUUUAAUUAACUCUAUUAUAAUAUUCGCCCUUUUUUCAUAAUUUUAACAAAAGUAAGUGUUAUAAAUAUAACAAAUGGGAUUUGAUGAGAGUUUUAAAUGGGUGUUAGGAAGUCAACUCAUGAACCCUAAGCCGGGCUCAUGCUGUCUUAUUCAAGGCGUCUAGACUGGGCCAGGCCCAAAUUUGAUCCACAGAACAAUCACUUUAAUACAAUCUGAUGUUUUAUUAAUGCUGAAGAGCCUAUAUUGAUACCUAAGUGCUUAAAUAACAAUUGGUCCCAACAAAAUCGUUAUUAGGUGAUCUGUUUAAAAUUAUAUUUUGAAGAAAAAAAAUGCAGGAAUCGAGUGCUAUAGCUUAUCUAAUGAUCAUAUGUGUUUAUUUAAUUCUAUAAAUUC
This 1158-nucleotide long non-coding RNA is filed under the name Citrus x clementina. RNAcentral describes it as "Citrus clementina (C. clementina) long non-coding RNA (CCLE_LNC005486)". Lineage: Eukaryota; Viridiplantae; Streptophyta; Magnoliopsida; Sapindales; Rutaceae. The record is from RNAcentral.